RNAcentral lists this ribosomal RNA (479 nucleotides) under uncultured bacterium. RNAcentral describes it as "partial 16S ribosomal RNA". It matches the Rfam family "Bacterial small subunit ribosomal RNA", at positions 28 to 507 of the family's 1533-position model. The record is from RNAcentral.
GAUGAACGCUAGCGGGAGGCCUAACACAUGCAAGCCGAGCGGUAUUGUUUCUUCGGAAAUGAGAGAGCGGCGUACGGGUGCGUAACACGUGUGCAACCUGCCUUUAUCUGGGGGAUAGCCUUUCGAAAGGAAGAUUAAUACUCCAUAAUAUAUUGAACGGCAUCGUUUAAUAUUGAAAGCUCCGGCGGAUAGAGAUGGGCACGCGCAAGAUUAGCUAGUUGGUGAGGUAACGGCUCACCAAGGCGAUGAUCUUUAGGGGGCCUGAGAGGGUGAUCCCCCACACUGGUACUGAGACACGGACCAGACUCCUACGGGAGGCUGCAGUGAGGAAUAUUGGUCAAUGGGUGCAAGCCUGAACCAGCCAUCCCGCGUGAAGGACGACUGCCCUAUGGGUUGUAAACUUCUUUUGUAUAGGGAUAAACCUACCCUCGAGAGGGUAGCUGAAGGUACUAUACGAAUAAGCACCGGCUAACUCCGUG